UUGAACGCUGGCGGCAUGCUUUACACAUGCAAGUCGAGCGGCAGCGCGGGGGCAACCCUGGCGGCGAGCGGCGGACGGGUGAGUAAUGCAUCGGAACGUAUCCCGUAGUGGGGGACAACCCAGCGAAAGUUGGGCUAAUACCGCAUACGCUCUACGGAGGAAAGUGGGGGACUUCGCAAGGAGCCUCACGCUAGGGGCGCGGCCGAUGUCCGAUUAGCUAGUUGGUGGGGAAUGGCUCACCAAGGCGACGAUCGGUAGCUGGUCUGAGAGGAUGAUCAGCCACAC
RNAcentral lists this ribosomal RNA (285 nucleotides) under uncultured bacterium. RNAcentral describes it as "partial 16S ribosomal RNA". It matches the Rfam family "Bacterial small subunit ribosomal RNA", at positions 29 to 313 of the family's 1533-position model. The record is from RNAcentral.